CUGGAUGACAUUCCGGUGGGACAGGUGCCUACAUUGUUUGAAAUCCUGGACCAAACAAAGGAGAACGAAGAGAAGGGAUUAAUACAGAAGAGUCCUGCAGAAAUGAGCAACAAACUUCUUAGUGCUGGAUUCUAUGCCUUUGCGCAUGAGAUUAUGGCAGUGAUGCAAGAGAAGAGCAAAGAUGGAGCUGCAGAAUCAAAAGAGAGCACCACUGAAAACGUUGACACAAAGGAGCAAGGUAACACACCCGACGGGUCAGACGAGUGUAAGCAAGAUGAAACUUCCAAACUCCUCACCCAGGCAGGAACAUAGACCAUUGGGGAGGCAUUAGUCAGGACAUGGAAGUUUGUCUUUCACACACUCAUAAAAUGGGCAAUUGGCCGGGACAAGAAGCUAUAUUUGGUAAUAAUCAGAACAUUCAAAUAUUAGCGAUUUCAAGAGGACCUGUGAUAAAGAGAGAGAGGUACAUGAUUUAUCGUAAACACGGAGAUGUCUUGAUUGUUUGUACAUCACUGAAAUUUAGUUAUAUCAUGUUCAUUUCAAAACAUAAUGGACUUUAUAAGGGCAACUCAAUAUCAUCUCUAUCUAUCUAAGUAUCUUCUUCCGGUUCGGAGGUUGAUUGCAACAUCUCUCCAUUUCACUCUAUCUUCUGCCAUUCUGGUGCACUCUUGCAGUUUUA
Long non-coding RNA from Strongylocentrotus purpuratus (purple sea urchin), 679 nucleotides. RefSeq lists it as uncharacterized. The record is from RefSeq and is a predicted model, not a curated record. The transcript is spliced from 3 exons. Lineage: Eukaryota; Metazoa; Echinodermata; Echinoidea; Camarodonta; Strongylocentrotidae.